AGGGAGCCGUCGAAGGUGGGGCUGGCGAUUGGGACGAAGUCGUAACAAGGUAGCCGUACCGGAAGGUGCGGCUGGAUCACCUCCUUUCUAAGGAGCA
This 97-nucleotide ribosomal RNA is filed under the name Micromonospora chalcea. RNAcentral's name for it is "partial 16S ribosomal RNA". The stretch from base 1 to 87 matches the Rfam family "Bacterial small subunit ribosomal RNA", at positions 1447 to 1533 of the family's 1533-position model. The record is from RNAcentral. RNAcentral also lists the same sequence under 1 other name. Lineage: Bacteria; Bacillati; Actinomycetota; Actinomycetes; Micromonosporales; Micromonosporaceae.